AUGUUAUUUUGUGUUUUGACUGAUUAUAUUCUCCCUAUCUAUUUAAUUGUUCUUUACAUAAUGAGUAUGAAAAAAGGAUUGUUGAGAGGGACUCACAAGAGGCACCUGAAGAUGAUUUCUAGUCAUCAAUCUGAUAACAUCAUCUUCUUAGAUGUUGUUGGAGGAGUGGACAAGAAGGGUCAUAUUUAUGGUUUGGGAACAGAAGCAACAAAAUACAAGUCAUCUAGAUCUUCCAUAUUUAAUGGUAUCUCACCAUCUGAAUAUGAAUAA
Non-coding RNA from Vicia faba (fava bean), 270 nucleotides. The record is from the annotation of a GenBank genome assembly. Lineage: Eukaryota; Viridiplantae; Streptophyta; Magnoliopsida; Fabales; Fabaceae.